Molecule: long non-coding RNA, 213 nt
Filed under: Hordeum vulgare
Lineage: Eukaryota; Viridiplantae; Streptophyta; Magnoliopsida; Poales; Poaceae
Description: long non-coding RNA (HVUL_LNC017988)
Source: RNAcentral
CUAGCAUGAAACAGAUUCUACUAUGGCCGGGUACCAACAAUGCACACGAACAAAUGGAAAACCAGUGCGCACCCGUCUGUACUAUCACUAACAUAAGCAAAAUUCACUAUAUUUGCCCAAGUUACAUAAUUUUAACCAGAGCUUAACGAUCACUGCUGCUGUCGUUAUCGUCGACCUCACAUCUCGCAAAGCAGCGAUGAAAGUCCGAUGCAC